UACGUAGGUCCCGAGCGUUGUCCGGAUUUAUUGGGCGUAAAGCGAGCGCAGGUGGUUUAAUAAGUCUGAUGUAAAAGGCAGUGGCUCAACCAUUGUGUGCAUUGGAAACUGUUAGACUUGAGUGCAGUAGAGGAGAGUGGAAUUCCAUGUGUAGCGGUGAAAUGCGUAGAUAUCGGGAGGAACACCGGUGGCGAAAGCGGCUCUCUGGACUGUCACUGACACUGAGGCUCGAAAGCGUGGGUAGCAAACAGG
This 252-nucleotide ribosomal RNA is filed under the name uncultured microorganism. Its description in RNAcentral is "partial 16S ribosomal RNA". It matches the Rfam family "Bacterial small subunit ribosomal RNA", at positions 524 to 776 of the family's 1533-position model. The record is from RNAcentral.